RNAcentral lists this long non-coding RNA (224 nucleotides) under Homo sapiens (human). RNAcentral's name for it is "LNC_000108". The record is from RNAcentral. Lineage: Eukaryota; Metazoa; Chordata; Mammalia; Primates; Hominidae.
GCCAGAAGAGGGAGGCUGGGCACAGCAGCCAGCUCAAGCAUCCUGUUCAGUAUACAUCACCCUUUGAUUUCAUCCACUCACAGCCUUCCUACCUCAAACUCGAGCUGAGCUUUUGCUCACCGUCCACCACUGCUGUUGGCCGCCAUCGCACACCUGCCACUGACUUCCACCCCUCUGGAUCCGGCUGGGUGUCUGCUGCACUCCUGAUCCAGCGAGGCGCCCAC